This 601-nucleotide ribosomal RNA is filed under the name Clostridioides difficile. RNAcentral describes it as "bacterial LSU rRNA". It matches the Rfam family "Bacterial large subunit ribosomal RNA", at positions 1413 to 2023 of the family's 2925-position model. Lineage: Bacteria; Bacillati; Bacillota; Clostridia; Peptostreptococcales; Peptostreptococcaceae. The record is from RNAcentral.
AGGUGAUGGACAACAGGUUGAUAUUCCUGUACUACCGAUAACCGUUUGAGAGAAGGGAUGACACAGUAGGAUAAGCUAAGCACACUGUUGGUUAUGUGUGCCCAAGCAUUGAGGCAGUCAAAGUAGGCAAAUCCGCUUUGAUAAUGCUGGGGUGUGAUGGGGAGCGAAAUUUAGUAGCGAAGUAGCUGAUUUCACACUGUCAAGAAAAGUCUCUAUCGAGGUUAAAGGUACCCGUACCGCAAACCGACACAGGUGGGUGAGGAGAGUAUCCUAAGGCCAGCGAGAGAACUGUUGUUAAGGAACUCGGCAAAAUGACCCCGUAACUUAGGGAUAAGGGGUGCCACCAUCAGGUGGCCGCAGAGAAUAGGCCCAAGCGACUGUUUACCAAAAACAUAGGUUUCUGCUAAGUCGCAAGACGAUGUAUAGGAGCUGACGCCUGCCCGGUGCUGGAAGGUUAAGGGGAUCUGUUAGAGCAAUCGAAGCAGUGAACUUAAGCCCCAGUAAACGGCGGCCGUAACUAUAACGGUCCUAAGGUAGCGAAAUUCCUUGUCGGGUAAGUUCCGACCCGCACGAAAGGCGUAACGAUUUGGGCACUGUCUCA